Long non-coding RNA from Amblyraja radiata (thorny skate), 1135 nucleotides. RefSeq lists it as uncharacterized. NCBI's taxonomy places the organism in Eukaryota, Metazoa, Chordata, Chondrichthyes, Rajiformes, Rajidae. The record is from RefSeq and is a predicted model, not a curated record. The transcript has 2 exons.
UUUAAAUUGUCCCCAGUGUGUAGGAUGGAACUAGUGUUCUGGGUGAUGUUAGUCGGUGCGGACUCGGUGGGGCUAAGGGCCUGUUUCCACACUAUCUCUAAACUAGAAACUGACUGUGUCUGCGCAUCCCUGCAGGGGUUACUCAGUGUGCAGCCAUCUGCAGUUGCCACAUCAUCACCUUCCUUCCACCAUGAGGUCAGUUAUCGGGAUAGUUGCAAUGACUGUAUAACAGCAGAAGCAGCAGCCUAUGGUCCUUGUUUAAGGUGACAACAUUCAGCACGGUCUGAUAAAUUACAUUCAUCAUUUGUGCCCUGACAACGCCAGGCUAAGACUGGCACAGUAAAAGGGAGCUGGACAGUUAAUGCCUCGCCCAUGGCCCGUCCCCCACCCUCAACAUCCGCGAUCACCACUGAUCAACCACUGACUAGAAACAGUGACCGGUGUUUGCGAGUUACCAGUGGUGAGUUACCAGUGUUGGUUAGUUACCCAUGGUUAUGUUAACCAGAGCCAGAAUUUCCCGGUGUACACCGCUUUCCUCAGGAGUGGUCACUGCUUCGGAAGGAGAGGGUCUGUGGGACGUGCCAAGCACUGGUUUGGGGCAGUUUGGGACACUGUUGCCUGUUGCCGCUCCGUUAGGAAGGUGGUGAGGGUGAGGAUGUUAUAGUCAUUUAGUAUGUCUGUAUGUUUACCUAGUAUGGCUGUAUGGUAACUCGAGUGUCACUUUACCUUAAGUGGUACAUGUGACAAUAAACUGAUCUUGAUCGCUGCUCUCUGCACGCCACUAGCCGGCUGGUCACUGCUGCAGUCUUUGGCCAAGGAUCACUCCCUGCAGCCUCUGACCCCACGUCACUUUCACCAGGUGGCUUCUAGCAACAAUGGGCUUAUUGUUAGCAUGUUUUGAAUUCAUUCAUAAUCUAAAAAUGCUGAAUUUGCGCAAAAAAAAUGCUGAAUUUAUUUAUAUAGCAUUUGGCUACAGUUUAAUAUUCUCGUUGGUUCUAAAUCGAGAGCUGAAGGGGCUGAACUCCCACAAAGGCGUUUCUCUGCACUUUCCUUUCGGUUUUACAAUUUGGGGUCGGGCAAAGGUUUUUGAUGUUUGCAGGAUUUUAACUGCUGGUAAUAAAGAAUCUUCAGAUGA